RNAcentral lists this ribosomal RNA (467 nucleotides) under uncultured bacterium. RNAcentral describes it as "partial 16S ribosomal RNA". It matches the Rfam family "Bacterial small subunit ribosomal RNA", at positions 28 to 507 of the family's 1533-position model. The record is from RNAcentral.
GACGAACGCUGGCGGCGUGCUUAACACAUGCAAGUCGAACGGAAAGGCCCUGCUUUUGUGGGGUGCUCGAGUGGCGAACGGGUGAGUAACACGUGAGUAACCUGCCCUUGACUUUGGGAUAACUUCAGGAAACUGGGGCUAAUACCGGAUAGGAGCUCCUGCUGCAUGGUGGGGGUUGGAAAGUUUCGGCGGUUGGGGAUGGACUCGCGGCUUAUCAGCUUGUUGGUGGGGUAGUGGCUUACCAAGGCUUGGACGGGUAGCCGGCCUGAGAGGGUGACCGGCCCCAUGGGGAUGGGGAAACGGCCCGGACGCCUACGGGCGGAAGCGGUGGGAAAUUUUGCACAAUGGGCGGAGGCCGGAUUCAGCAACGCCGGGUCGGGAAUGACGGCCUUCGGGUUGGAAACCGCUUUCGCGUGUGACGAAGCGUGAUGACGGGAAAUGGGUAAAGAGGCACGGCUAACUUCGUG